AUUGAACGCUGGCGGCAUGCCUUACACAUGCAAGUCGAACGGCAGCACGGGAGCAAUCCUGGUGGCGAGUGGCGAACGGGUGAGUAAUACAUCGGAACGUGCCCAGUAGUGGGGGAUAACCCGGCGAAAGCCGGACUAAUACCGCAUACGACCUACGGGUGAAAGCGGGGGAUCGCAAGACCUCGCGCUAUCGGAGCGGCCGAUGUCAGAUUAGCUAGUUGGUGGGGUAAAGGCCUACCAAGGCGACGAUCUGUAGCUGGUCUGAGAGGACGACCAGCCACACUGGGACUGAGACACGGCCCAGACUCCUACGGGAGGCAGCAGUGGGGAAUUUUGCACAAUGGGCGCAAGCCUGAUCCAGCCAUGCCGCGUGCGGGAAGAAGGCCUUCGGGUUGUAAACCGCUUUUGUCAGGGAAGAAACGCUCCGGGCUAAUACCACGGAGUAAUGACGGUACCUGAAGAAUAAGCACCGGCUAACUACGUG
RNAcentral lists this ribosomal RNA (484 nucleotides) under uncultured bacterium. RNAcentral describes it as "partial 16S ribosomal RNA". It matches the Rfam family "Bacterial small subunit ribosomal RNA", at positions 29 to 507 of the family's 1533-position model. The record is from RNAcentral.